Camelina sativa (false flax) is the source of this 312-nucleotide non-coding RNA. The record is from RefSeq and is a predicted model, not a curated record. Lineage: Eukaryota; Viridiplantae; Streptophyta; Magnoliopsida; Brassicales; Brassicaceae.
UCCUAAUGUAUAUUAUUUGCUAUUUAUAGGUACCUCUCGGGAAGAGGUCACUUCAGCAAUUGUUCUCCUUAGUGUAUGGACAAAGAAAUCAUCUAUGUCAGAAACCCCACCAACAACUGCAAGGGUAUUUGAGUUAACCACUGCUAAGGCUAGGUUUUCAUUGGAAGCCUAAAUACAUAUGCAGAGCCUUGAAUUCGUUAAGAGAAGGCAUGUCCGGGUUAAUCAUCAAAACUGAGCAAUUAUGACAGUGGUUCCAGGAAAUGCUUGGAUGUUGUUGUUCACAUGCUCAGCGAAUGAUCCCCAGAGCACAAC